GAUGAACGCUGGCGGCGUGCCUAAUACAUGCAAGUCGAACGCAUUGUGGUUGAAAUGAUAUGAAGAACUUGUUCAGAUUUGAUUUUCAACAUUGCAAUGAGUGGCGAACGGGUGAGUAACACGUGGGAAACCUACCUCUUAGCAGGGGAUAACAUUUGGAAACAAAUGCUAAUACCGUAUAAUAAUUAAAACCGCAUGGUUUUAGUUUAAAAGAUGGUCUUGCUAUCACUAAGAGAUGGUCCCGCGGUGUAUUAGUUAGUUGGUGAGGUAAUGGCUCACCAAGACAAUGAUACAUAGCCGAGUUGAGAGACUGACCGGCUACAAUGGACUGAGACACGGCCCAUACUCCUACGGGAGGCAGCAGUAGGGAAUCUUCCACAA
Molecule: ribosomal RNA, 381 nt
Filed under: uncultured bacterium
Lineage: Bacteria
Description: bacterial SSU rRNA
Rfam family: Bacterial small subunit ribosomal RNA
Source: RNAcentral